Molecule: ribosomal RNA, 402 nt
Filed under: uncultured bacterium
Lineage: Bacteria
Description: bacterial SSU rRNA
Rfam family: Bacterial small subunit ribosomal RNA
Source: RNAcentral
UGGGGAAUCUUGGACAAUGGGGGCAACCCUGAUCCAGCGAUGCCGCGUGAGCGAAGAAGGCCUUAGGGUUGUAAAGCUCUUUCGCCCGCGACGAUGAUGACGGUAGCGGGAGAAGAAGCCCCGGCUAACUCCGUGCCAGCAGCCGCGGUAAUACGGAGGGGGCUAGCGUUGUCCGGCAUUACUGGGCGUAAAGCGCGCGUAGGCGGUCCACCAAGUCGGGGGUGAAAGCCCGGGGCUCAACCCCGGAAUGUCCUCCGAGACUGUUGGACUGGAGUUCGGGAGAGGAGAGCGGAAUUCCCAGUGUAGAGGUGAAAUUCGUAGAUAUUGGGAAGAACACCGGUGGCGAAGGCGGCUCUCUGGCCCGCAACUGACGCUGAGGCGCGAAAGCGUGGGGAGCAAACA